CGGACGGGUGAGUAACGCGUGGAAAACCUGCCGUAUACUGGGGGAUAACACUUAGAAAUAGGUGCUAAUACCGCAUAAGCGCAUAGCUUCGCAUGAAGCGGUGUGAAAAACUCUGGUGGUAUACGAUGGUUCCGCGUCUGAUUAGCUAGUUGGUGGGGUAAUGGCCUACCAAGGCAACGAUCAGUAGCCGGUCUGAGAGGGUGAACGGCCACAUUGGGACUGAGACACGGCCCAAACUCCUACGGGAGGCAGCAG
Molecule: ribosomal RNA, 255 nt
Filed under: uncultured bacterium
Lineage: Bacteria
Description: partial 16S ribosomal RNA
Rfam family: Bacterial small subunit ribosomal RNA
Source: RNAcentral